RNAcentral lists this ribosomal RNA (501 nucleotides) under Kocuria palustris. Its description in RNAcentral is "bacterial SSU rRNA". It matches the Rfam family "Bacterial small subunit ribosomal RNA", at positions 85 to 598 of the family's 1533-position model. The record is from RNAcentral. Lineage: Bacteria; Bacillati; Actinomycetota; Actinomycetes; Micrococcales; Micrococcaceae.
GUGUGGAUGAGUGGCGAACGGGUGAGUAAUACGUGAGUAACCUGCCCUUGACUCUGGGAUAAGCCCGGGAAACUGGGUCUAAUACUGGAUGCUACAUGUCACCGCAUGGUGGUGUGUGGAAAGGGUUUACUGGUCUUGGAUGGGCUCACGGCCUAUCAGCUUGUUGGUGAGGUAAUGGCUCACCAAGGCGACGACGGGUAGCCGGCCUGAGAGGGUGACCGGCCACACUGGGACUGAGACACGGCCCAGACUCCUACGGGAGGCAGCAGUGGGGAAUAUUGCACAAUGGGCGAAAGCCUGAUGCAGCGACGCCGCGUGAGGGAUGACGGCCUUCGGGUUGUAAACCUCUUUCAGCAGGGAAGAAGCCACAAGUGACGGUACCUGCAGAAGAAGCGCCGGCUAACUACGUGCCAGCAGCCGCGGUAAUACGUAGGGCGCAAGCGUUGUCCGGAAUUAUUGGGCGUAAAGAGCUCGUAGGCGGUUUGUCGCGUCUGCUGUGAA